GUCUACAUAGAGGAGAUAUAUGUGGUCCGGCCUGCUCACUGAGCCAGGAGACUUAAAGAGCCGCGGUAUUUUGACCGUGCAAAGGUAGCAUAAUCAUUAGUUCUUUAAUUGGGAACUUGUAUGAAUGGUUAAACAAAAGAAAUACUGUCUCUAUUUCUAAAAUUUGAAUUUAACUUUUAAGUGAAAAGGCUUAAAUUACUCAAGGGGACGAUAAGACCCUAUAAAGCUUUAUAAAUAACUAGGGAUUUUUUGGGUUAUAAAGAUAAAAAAGAAUGCUAGAAGUUUAUUAUGUUGGGGCGACACGGAUAUAGAUUAAAGCAACUAUCAGGAAAAAACACAAUAAUUUUUGAAUUUUAUGAUCCUAAUUAAAGAUUAUAAGACUAAGUUACUUUAGGGAUAACAGCGUAAUUCUUUUUGAGAGUUCAUAUCGAAAAAAGAGUUUGCGACCUCGAUGUUGAAUCAUAAAAUCUUUAUAGUGCAGCAGUUAUAAAAGAGGGUCUGUUCGACCUUUAAAAUUUUACGUGAUUUGAGUUCAAACCGGUGUAAG
RNAcentral lists this ribosomal RNA (547 nucleotides) under Maguimithrax spinosissimus. Its description in RNAcentral is "Damithrax spinosissimus partial large subunit ribosomal RNA". It matches the Rfam family "Bacterial large subunit ribosomal RNA", at positions 1828 to 2625 of the family's 2925-position model. Lineage: Eukaryota; Metazoa; Arthropoda; Malacostraca; Decapoda; Mithracidae. The record is from RNAcentral.